AGAGCGAACGCUGGCGGCAGGCCUAACACAUGCAAGUCGAGCGCCCGUAGCAAUACGGGAGCGGCAGACGGGAUAGUAACACGUGGGAACGCGCCCUUCGGUUCGGAAUAACUCAGGGAAACUUGAGCUAAUACCGAAUACGCCCUUACGGGGAAAGAUUUAUUGCCGAAGGAACGGCCCGCGUCCGAUUAGCUAGUUGGUGAGGUAAUGGCUCACCAAGGCUACGAUCGGUAGCUGGUCUGAGAGGAUGACCAGCAUCACUGGGACUGAGACACGGCCCAGACUCCUACGGGAGGCAGCAGUGGGGAAUAUGGACAAUGGGCGCAAGCCUGAUCCAGCCAUGCCGCGUGGAUGAUGAAGGCCUUAGGGUUGUAAAGUCCUUUUAACGGGAAGAUAAUGACGGUACCCGUAGAAUAAGCCCGGCUAACUUCGCGCCAGCAGCCGC
RNAcentral lists this ribosomal RNA (445 nucleotides) under uncultured bacterium. Its description in RNAcentral is "SSU rRNA". It matches the Rfam family "Bacterial small subunit ribosomal RNA", at positions 26 to 518 of the family's 1533-position model. The record is from RNAcentral.